CUGUUGAGUGCUUUGGUUAAGGAGCUUGAAAUUAGCAAAAUGGAAGUUGUGUAUAAGGAGAUGAUAAAGAGAAGGAUUGGACCUAGUUUAAUUAGUUUUAAUGUUGUGAUUAAUGGUUUGUGUAAAGCAGGGAAAUUGAAUAAAGCUAGUGAUGUUAUUGAGGAUAUGAAAGUGUGGGGAGUAUCACCAAAUGUAAUUACCUAUAAUACUCUC
RNAcentral lists this unclassified non-coding RNA (213 nucleotides) under Hevea brasiliensis (rubber tree). Lineage: Eukaryota; Viridiplantae; Streptophyta; Magnoliopsida; Malpighiales; Euphorbiaceae. The record is from RNAcentral.